Molecule: long non-coding RNA, 523 nt
Organism: Thunnus maccoyii (southern bluefin tuna)
Lineage: Eukaryota; Metazoa; Chordata; Actinopteri; Scombriformes; Scombridae
Exons: 3
Source: RefSeq, a predicted model, not a curated record
GGUAGCUGACAAAAACAAAGACACCACGUACUCAUCACCAGGGCUCAAGGUGAACAGCAAUUUGGAGCGUGUGCUGCUGUGAGACAAAGUGAAAAGCAAAGACAUCCAGUGACAUCCGACCCCACCUACCAUCCGGGGGUUCAGCGCUCCUCAACACCCUCAUGCAGAGCAUCUGCACCAGCCUCAUGCAGUCCGUCUGGGUCUGCGCCCAAACUUUCUAAAUAAAUUGUGUUAAUCUCAUAUUCUUGCAGUGACAGUGAAGCGGAUAAAGUAGAGUACUAAAACAAAUAAAAGCUAAUUUUAAUGGAUUUUUUCUCUCCUAUUUUUUUGGUUUAGUUUUUUGCUACGACAUUUCCCAUCAUUCUUUGGGUGAUAUUAACAGGCAGUGUAUAUAAUGUUGCCAUGGAGUCAGUUAGCUGCAGGCUACACAUAAUCCAUGUUUUCAGACAACAAAUUAUGCUGCAUUAGCUAAUAGCAACACUUGUUUGCACAGACAACAAUCACCUGGAUAAUAUUUAUACUG